Molecule: long non-coding RNA, 401 nt
Organism: Panicum virgatum (switchgrass)
Lineage: Eukaryota; Viridiplantae; Streptophyta; Magnoliopsida; Poales; Poaceae
Exons: 2
Source: RefSeq, a predicted model, not a curated record
UGUUAAAAAAGAAUAACACCGUCGCUCCGAUGCGGCAUUGCGGCGAUGCCCAGCCAGUCCCGUAGCCGCUUCGGCGUGCAUCGCCACUCGCUCGCCGCCUUCGGAUGAUAGAGUAAGAAGGGCAGCAAAUCUGCAACGCGCCCUUCGGUUUUGAGAAGCCAUGCAGAAGGGGACAAGUGGUCAUGUAUAAUUGCGCUUACUCAUAUGUACUCAAGCAAGGAAUCAAUCGUGGGCUCCUGGCAACUUCCUGGAAGGACCAGUAAUGAAAGGAACAUGUAAGAUUUAUACUGUGACUAGUCAAGCAUGCUCCACGGCCGGAUAUUAUUAGAUGGAAAAUCUUGAUCCGGAUACAGCUGCUCAGCACUUAUAUCAUUGAUUUCAUCAAGUGCACAGAAGUCUCA